This 253-nucleotide ribosomal RNA is filed under the name uncultured bacterium. RNAcentral describes it as "partial 16S ribosomal RNA". It matches the Rfam family "Bacterial small subunit ribosomal RNA", at positions 524 to 776 of the family's 1533-position model. The record is from RNAcentral.
UACGGAGGGGGCUAGCGUUGUUCGGAUUUACUGGGCGUAAAGCGCACGUAGGCGGCUUUCCAAGUCGGGCGUGAAAGGCCUGGGCUCAACCCGGGACACGCGCUCGAGACUGGGAGGCUAGAGGACGGGAGAGGGCAGCGGAAUUCCCAGUGUAGAGGUGAAAUUCGUAGAUAUUGGGAAGAACACCGGCGGCGAAGGCGGCUGUCUGGCCCGUGACUGACGCUGAGGUGCGAAAGCGUGGGGAGCAAACAGG